RNAcentral lists this ribosomal RNA (395 nucleotides) under Phocaeicola vulgatus. RNAcentral describes it as "bacterial SSU rRNA". It matches the Rfam family "Bacterial small subunit ribosomal RNA", at positions 1130 to 1533 of the family's 1533-position model. Lineage: Bacteria; Pseudomonadati; Bacteroidota; Bacteroidia; Bacteroidales; Bacteroidaceae. The record is from RNAcentral.
GCUGAGGACUCUGACAAGACUGCCAUCGUAAGAUGUGAGGAAGGUGGGGAUGACGUCAAAUCAGCACGGCCCUUACGUCCGGGGCUACACACGUGUUACAAUGGGGGGUACAGAGGGCCGCUACCACGCGAGUGGAUGCCAAUCCCAAAAACCUCUCUCAGUUCGGACUGGAGUCUGCAACCCGACUCCACGAAGCUGGAUUCGCUAGUAAUCGCGCAUCAGCCACGGCGCGGUGAAUACGUUCCCGGGCCUUGUACACACCGCCCGUCAAGCCAUGGGAGCCGGGGGUACCUGAAGUGCGUAACCGCGAGGAGCGCCCUAGGGUAAAACUGGUGACUGGGGCUAAGUCGUAACAAGGUAGCCGUACCGGAAGGUGCGGCUGGAACACCUCCUUU